This 402-nucleotide ribosomal RNA is filed under the name uncultured bacterium. RNAcentral describes it as "bacterial SSU rRNA". It matches the Rfam family "Bacterial small subunit ribosomal RNA", at positions 355 to 774 of the family's 1533-position model. The record is from RNAcentral.
UCGGGAAUUUUGGGCAAUGGGCGAAAGCCUGACCCAGCAACGCCGCGUGAGGGAUGAAGUAUUUCGGUAUGUAAACCUCGAAAGAAUGGGAAGAAUAAAUGACGGUACCAUUUAUAAGCUCCGGCUAACUACGUGCCAGCAGCCGCGGUAAUACGUAGGGAGCAAGCGUUGUUCGGAUUUACUGGGCGUAAAGGGCGCGUAGGCGGCGCGGUAAGUCACUUGUGAAAUCUCUGAGCUUAACUCAGAACGGCCAAGUGAUACUGCUGUGCUAGAGUGCGGAAGAGGCAACCGGAAUUCUUGGUGUAGCGGUGAAAUGCGUAGAUAUCAAGAGGAACACCUGAGGCGAAGGCGGGUUGCUGGGCCGACACUGACGCUGAUGCGCGAAAGCCAGGGGAACAAACG